GACGAACGCUGGCGGCGUGCUUAACACAUGCAAGUCGAACGGAAAGGCCCUGCGUGGGUGGGGUGCUCGAGUGGCGAACGUGUGAGUAACACGUGAUUAACCUCCCCUGGACUUUGGGAUAACUUCAGGAGACUGGUGCUAAUACCUGAUAUUAGCUCCUGCUGCAAGGUGGUGAUUGGUAAGUUUGGGCGGGUGGGGCUGGAGUCGCGGUUUAUCAGCUGGUUGGUGGGGUAGUGGCUUACCAAGGCUUUGACGGGUAGCUGGCCUGAGAGGGUAACCGGCCACAUUGGGAACGAGAUCGGGACGAGACUGCUACGGGUAGCAGCAGUGGGGAGUAAGGCACAACGGGCGGAGGCGUGAUGAAGAAACGCGGCGUGCGGGAUGACGGCCUUCGGGUUGUAAACCGAUUUAGCCUGAGACGAAGCGUGAGUGACGGACCUGAGGAAAGAAGCACCGGCAAAUUAGGU
RNAcentral lists this ribosomal RNA (467 nucleotides) under uncultured bacterium. RNAcentral describes it as "partial 16S ribosomal RNA". It matches the Rfam family "Bacterial small subunit ribosomal RNA", at positions 28 to 506 of the family's 1533-position model. The record is from RNAcentral.